CCAUGCAGUCGAACGGCAGCACAGAGGAGCUUGCUCCUUGGGUGGCGAGUGGCGGACGGGUGAGGAAUACAUCGGAAUCUACUUUUUCGUGGGGGAUAACGUAGGGAAACUUACGCUAAUACCGCAUACGACCUACGGGUGAAAGCAGGGGACCUUCGGGCCUUGCGCGAUUGAAUGAGCCGAUGUCGGAUUAGCUAGUUGGCGGGGUAAAGGCCCACCAAGGCGACGAUCCGUAGCUGGUCUGAGAGGAUGAUCAGCCACACUGGAACUGAGACACGGUCCAGACUCCUACGGGAGGCAGCAGUGGGGAAUAUUGGACAAUGGGCGCAAGCCUGAUCCAGCCAUACCGCGUGGGUGAAGAAGGCCUUCGGGUUGUAAAGCCCUUUUGUUGGGAAAGAAAUCCAGCCGGCUAAUACCUGGUUGGGAUGACGGUACCCAAAGAAUAAGCACCGGCUAACUUCGUGCCAGCAGCCGCGGUAAUACGAAGGGUGCAAGCGUUACUCGGAAUUACUGGGCGUAAAGCGUGCGUAGGUGGUUGUUUAAGUCUGUUGUGAAAGCCCUGGGCUCAACCUGGGAACUGCAGUGGAAACUGGACAACUAGAGUGUGGUAGAGGGUAGCGGAAUUCCCGGUGUAGCAGUGAAAUGCGUAGAGAUCGGGAGGAACAUCCAUGGCGAAGGCAGCUACCUGGACCAACACUGACACUGAGGCAC
This 711-nucleotide ribosomal RNA is filed under the name Stenotrophomonas indicatrix. Its description in RNAcentral is "bacterial SSU rRNA". It matches the Rfam family "Bacterial small subunit ribosomal RNA", at positions 53 to 754 of the family's 1533-position model. Lineage: Bacteria; Pseudomonadati; Pseudomonadota; Gammaproteobacteria; Lysobacterales; Lysobacteraceae. The record is from RNAcentral.